CAAUUCUUGUUAUCCAAAUCAAGUGAAUUAACACCUAAACAUUAGCCAGCAAACCAAACAAUUACUGAUUUCAAUCCAAAUUAAUAAAACCAAAUCUAGCUCACCCCUUUUUAUUAAAACAGUUCCCAUAUUAAACUAUCAACAUACAUCACCAAUGUAAAGUGACGGUUCAAGACUUCGAAACAAAAUAUAAUACAUCUGCCUACAAGUGAAAUUACUUGGUUCAACGGUCCAGUUACAACUUAGUUUCAAUUUUUAAUUACAAAACCAUAUGCAAAUUAAAGUUAAAUUACAUCAUUAUAAUAUCUAAACUAUUAGGCACCAUUACAUCAAUCCAAACAGGCAAAGAUUGAGAAUCAGAUGAAUAAGUAUCUCAUUGCAUUUCCUCUUCAAUUCGACAUCGGUACAUCAAGGGAUGUACAAAUACCUGGAAAUUAGAGAAAAAACCAAAAGGGUCAGAUCAGUUAGCAGCAGUCCAACAAACAGCUUGACGCGGCAGAAUAUUCAUUGAAUCAGUAUCCACAGAAAUCAAGUCCACGACCCAGCAAUAAACCAAGGAACUUGUAAACCCAACAGAAAAACCACAACCCAACAAGGACAAACCCAAAUCAAUUCAAAGCAAGUCCUAAACCAAGCUAGGAGGCAGAACUUCAAAGAAAAGCCAGAAUCCAAUCACACUUAAUGAAAUAAUGAAAUUUUUUGUGGUUUUCUAUUUCUGUAUGUAUUUUUUUGGAAUUUUGUGUAUUUAAAUGCAGAAACUAAUCUGAAACUGAAAAUGAAAGGAAAUUCAGAUAUUUUGUGAAAAUUGUUAGCUCUAAAGUUCAGACCCCCUUCACAAGGCAAUUAAUACCCUUUAUAUAGGAACAAAUAAGGGCAACACUCAGAUUUUCCUUUGCACCCGCAGCCCCUAAUCAUUUUCAACUUAAAACCUUUAUUCUAUGACUUGCUACUCAAGUUAAUACCACAAAUCUAUUGAAAACACACUAAUGUCCUAUUCUAGAAGCCUCCAAGAUGCUCUUUGAGCAAGACAAACCCUAAACUACCCUUCCCUUGUUUUAAAAUUACCAAACCCAGAGAUUCUACCCUUUCCUAUCCCCUAAAAUGCCCUUUAAACAGUAUGAAAAAUACAGACUAAACUAACUAAACCCAAUCUCUCACCUCAGCUAAACUUUAACUAAGUUUAAUUAAUCAAAUGACUUAUUCAGCAAUAAUCUAACCUUACACCUAACUGGAUCACAAAUAACAACUGAAAUUCAAUUAAACUAAAAUUAACUCGACUAACUAAAGUACUAUCCCAAUCCACCGAUAAUCAAAUCAUCUUUAAAAAAAUUGGAAACACUGUUGAACUAAAAUUCUAAACAAAAAUCAAUUCACAACAAGGCAGUUGAACCAACUAACACCUAAUUGGCGAAACUACUAAUUAACCAUUUAAGCACAAACAAGACAGAAAUCAAUAGAACUAAUAAAAACUGGAAUUUAAACUAAGAAUCAUCAUAAACACGUAUAACCCAUUACAAUACUCAAGGCUUUACUAACAAAUUAAAAGAUAGAAUUAUAUUGCAAACAAACAACUAAUUAGGAUAUUCGAAAAUUAAAAUUACACUUAGUUAUAAACAUGACGAACUAAAUCGAAUCCAAAAGAUGAGACACUAAAAUUAACUCGACUAACUAAAGUACUAUCCCAAUCCACCGAUAAUCAAAUCAUCUUUAAAAAAAUUGGAAACACUGUUGAACUAAAAUUCUAAACAAAAAUCAAUUCACAACAAGGCAGUUGAACCAACUAACACCUAAUUGGCGAAACUACUAAUUAACCAUUUAAGCACAAACAAGACAGAAAUCAAUAGAACUAAUAAAAAAUGGAAUUUAAACUAAGAAUCAUCCUAAACAUGUAUUACCCAUUACAAUACUCAAGGCUUUACUAACAAAUUAAAAGAUAGAAUUAUAUUGCAAACAAACAACCAAUUAAGAUAUUCGAAAAUUAAAAUUACAUUUAGUUAUAAACAUGACGAACUAAAUCGAAACCAAAGAUGAGAAAAAGACUUACUAAUUUUAACCUAAUAUUUAUUUGAUUCCGGAAGUGAAUCUUAAUUAAUAUUACAAGUUUAUCUUUGUCAAAAUAAACUUAUAAUAUUAAUAAAAAUCACCCGAGAAUGAGGCUUCAAAUGGCAGACACACUUGAAAACCCUAGAUCGGCAACUCGAGUCCGUCUGCUUGCAUUUGAAGUCUUUUGGCUUGUGAUUCGAGGUGAGGAAGCCAUGGGGACUAGGAGGUGUGAAUUUGAGCCAGUUUGGACGAGAUUGUGUUUUGACCGGACUUUUCGAAUUAGGAUUCGAGGACUUUGGUGAUGAUUCGAGGGAAAGUGGCUGGGGAUUCGAGAUGAGGGUAGUGAGGAGAGUCUACGGUGUAUUUUUGGUUAAGUUUGGCGGCUGGCGCCGCACCUGGUGGCCUGGGGGUGUCAUGCGGCGUGGCUAGGGUUUGUGAGGGGUGAGGAAGAUGAUGAGAAAUGGGGUGGGG
This 2514-nucleotide long non-coding RNA is filed under the name Nicotiana benthamiana. Its description in RNAcentral is "long non-coding RNA (NBEN_LNC016196)". Lineage: Eukaryota; Viridiplantae; Streptophyta; Magnoliopsida; Solanales; Solanaceae. The record is from RNAcentral.